RNAcentral lists this long non-coding RNA (536 nucleotides) under Bos taurus (domestic cattle). Its description in RNAcentral is "long non-coding RNA NONBTAT011433". The record is from RNAcentral. Lineage: Eukaryota; Metazoa; Chordata; Mammalia; Artiodactyla; Bovidae.
GUUCUAUUUAAGAUGAAGUCAUCUCAGUUUUAACUUACAGGAUUCUUUGUGCAUUGGAUAGGAAAUUCCUGAAAUACAGUACAUGUUUAAUUGUAUGGUAACAUUUUAUUAAUCAUUGGCAACUAAUUGUCAUUCUUGUGAAAUAGUGUAGAUAAUGUCUAUUAGCUUAUAGCAGGGAUUACAAGAUAUUCUGAAAAUAUUUUUAUGGUACUUUAAGAAAUUUGAUUUGCUUUGAUAAAUGAAAGUCUUAUCUACAAGUAUGGUUUUUAUAUUUGUAUGAUUGAGGAUUAUGCAUUGCCUUUGUUCUGGCUAAUCCUUUUAUCACUAAAAAACAGAUUUGAACAUUAUGGGUUGGUUAUGUGUUAAUUUGGAGCUCAAGCUCAGAUGACAUUUUAAAUACUGUAGUGUUCUUGUAUGCCAAUUUUUUUUUCUCCCCAACAUUAGAAUUUUUAUUUACUGUUUCGAUAUUUGUUUUCUUAGAUUAGCUAGGAAAUUAUAAUUUGGCCACAGUCUACUUUUGACAAGUAAAUAAUUAC